CGUGUACGCCAGACAGUCGCGGGGGGAGAGAAAACCCUUCGAGGAAAGUCCGGACAUCGCAGGGCACGGUGGUCGGGAAGCCGACCCGGGGAAACCCGCGGGAAAGUGCCACAGAAAUACACCGCCGAUGGCGUGAGUGAGUUGGACGUCCGCUCAUUUGCGCACAGGUAAGGGUGAAAAGGUGCGGUAAGAGCGCACCGGCGUCGUGGUAACACGGCGGCCAGGUAAACCCCACCGGAUGCAAGACCAAGCAGAACCGUUUGUAGGCUGCCCGCCAAGGUUCAGGUAGGUCGCAAAGAUGGAUGGCUGUCCAAGACAGAAUCCGGCUUACCGGCGUACUAAGGGA
RNAcentral lists this RNase P RNA (346 nucleotides) under Solirubrobacteraceae bacterium. Its description in RNAcentral is "RNase P RNA component class A". It matches the Rfam family "Bacterial RNase P class A". Rfam says of the family: Ribonuclease P (RNase P) is a ubiquitous endoribonuclease, found in archaea, bacteria and eukarya as well as chloroplasts and mitochondria. Its best characterised activity is the generation of mature 5'-ends of tRNAs by cleaving the 5'-leader elements of precursor-tRNAs. Lineage: Bacteria; Bacillati; Actinomycetota; Thermoleophilia; Solirubrobacterales; Solirubrobacteraceae. The record is from RNAcentral.